GCUUACCAUGCAGUCGAGGGGUAUAGGUUUUCGGAUCUAGAGACCGGCGCACGGGUGCGUAACGCGUAUGCAAUCUACCUUUUACAGAGGGAUAGCCCAGAGAAAUUUGGAUUAAUACCUCAUAGCAUAGCAGCUUCGCAUGAAGCCACUAUUAAAGUCACAACGGUAAAAGAUGAGCAUGCGUCCCAUUAGCUAGUUGGUAAGGUAACGGCUUACCAAGGCUACGAUGGGUAGGGGUCCUGAGAGGGAGAUCCCCCACACUGGUACUGAGACACGGACCAGACUCCUACGGGAGGCAGCAGUGAGGAAUAUUGGACAAUGGGCGCAAGCCUGAUCCAGCCAUGCCGCGUGCAGGAUGACGGUCCUAUGGAUUGUAAACUGCUUUUGUACGAGAAGAAACACUCCGACGUGUCGGAGCUUGACGGUAUCGUAAGAAUAAGGAUCGGCUAACUCCGUGCCAGCAGCCGGCGGUAAUGA
Molecule: ribosomal RNA, 477 nt
Filed under: Flavobacterium sp. IMV01
Lineage: Bacteria; Pseudomonadati; Bacteroidota; Flavobacteriia; Flavobacteriales; Flavobacteriaceae
Description: bacterial SSU rRNA
Rfam family: Bacterial small subunit ribosomal RNA
Source: RNAcentral